GCCCGCAUGGUGGAAUGGAAGACAUGCCUGACUUAGGAUCAGGUGCGAAAGCGUGAGGGUUCAAAUCCCUCUGUGGGUA
RNAcentral lists this transfer RNA (79 nucleotides) under Enterocloster aldenensis. Its description in RNAcentral is "[Clostridium] aldenense tRNA-Leu". It matches the Rfam family "tRNA". Rfam says of the family: Transfer RNA (tRNA) molecules are approximately 80 nucleotides in length. Their secondary structure includes four short double-helical elements and three loops (D, anti-codon, and T loops). The record is from RNAcentral. Lineage: Bacteria; Bacillati; Bacillota; Clostridia; Lachnospirales; Lachnospiraceae.